Molecule: long non-coding RNA, 767 nt
Filed under: Nicotiana tabacum (common tobacco)
Lineage: Eukaryota; Viridiplantae; Streptophyta; Magnoliopsida; Solanales; Solanaceae
Description: long non-coding RNA (NTAB_LNC008146)
Source: RNAcentral
AAUUCUAAGGAUGAUUUCAGUUCCUCAUAAAUAAUUCGCGAGUUAUCAACAAAUAUACAUGUCUAGCAGUUCACAAUUACUUUAUCAUUGUAUAAUUGCAGCCUGCGUAAGUAUGUGAACAACUGUGCCAAUAAUAGUUAAUGCGAUAAUAAGUAAUGAGUUUGAACUAUACAAUAUAGAAGUAACAUAUUUAGGGACAUUUUACUGAUAAAAUACCAAAUCAGGAGCAAAUCUCUAAGUAACAACAACAACAAACUCAGUGAAAUCACACAAGUGGGGUCUGGAGAGGGUAGUGUAUACGCAGACCUUACCCCUACCUUAUGAAGGUAGAGAGGCAAGGAGCAGAUCUCUAAGUAUUCUCAAAACUUAUACAAUGUGCACUUCUGCACGCGACAAACCAAUAUAACAUGAGUAUAGUGAUUAUCCUUCAACAACUUUUACAGCAGUUCUGCACCAAAAAAAGAAGAAGAAAAGAAUGUACAGUAAAUACAUCAAAUGCUGAGGAUAAUGAAGCUAAGUAUUGAAGUUCAAUCAAAGAAAUAAGUCCAUUAACUUUUUUGAAUGUUUUAAAAGCUGACUACUCACCCGAAUGGGCUUUGUUUAAUAGAAAGCAGUUCAAUAUCAAUCUGUAGAUUAAAAAAUAAAAAGGUGAGAAGUAAUAAAAAUACAAUAGCCGUAUAAUAAUGUUAAAGAUAUAAAGACGUCCAUUUCGAGAAUAAGAAAAUAAUGACAGAUUGAUCUUGCAAAAAGGCAUAUGAUAAAUUUCU